This is a long non-coding RNA of Zonotrichia leucophrys gambelii, 1903 nucleotides long. RefSeq lists it as uncharacterized. NCBI's taxonomy places the organism in Eukaryota, Metazoa, Chordata, Aves, Passeriformes, Passerellidae. The transcript has 2 exons. The record is from RefSeq and is a predicted model, not a curated record.
CUCCUUUGGGAAUAAGACAGUACUCUGAGGAGUUGCCUAUGAGAAACACAAAGAAGGUGUGAAACUUUUGUGAUAGGAGACAACAGUAUGGAACCCCUGCAAUAACAUGACAAUGUCUUUCUGUGCUGAAUCUUCUGGAACCCCUAACUAUCGGCUUAACUGAGAAGAGACCAGUCUGUGCUGUUACUGCAGUGGCUACAGAGAGAUCACUCGCUGUGGUCAGCCACAGGUUUCCACAGCCUGGAACUGGGCUGUCAUGGCACACAUGUCCAACUUCAGCUCUUCCAGCCACAUCAGUCCCGUGAGUCAGCUGUCAAACACACCUGAGAUGAAGGAUUAAGAUGCAUUAUUCCACACUUUACCAGUGGGUAAAUUGGGGUGGUGCGUGGAACGGCACAUGGUCCUGGAGUUCAGAUCCUAAGUCACAGCUGUCUCCUCCAGCCUCUAGAACAAAUUGCUAAAAGCAGAGUAGGAAAUGCUGUGAGGAAUUUGCUUCCUUCAAAAUAUUCACCUCAUCUGAGGAAUCUGUCUGAUGAUUGAUGUGUCUGUAUGUAAUCCCAGGAAUGCCAAAAGGAUUACCCUAAGUUAUCAGGUGUCAAUUUUCUGUUGCUCCAGAACAUGUCCAUUUUUGUCUGCAGAUAGAUGUGUGCAAGUUGGUGGUGUACUCUAUUCUGACAAAUUUAAUCAUGAUUCCUAUACUAUUUCUGGCAUUCAAGCUUCAUUACUAGAAUUUAAUGUAACUGAAAGAGUUUCAGCUGAUUUCUUCUGUAGCAGUCUUUUGUCUGAGCCACACAAGCUGUUGAGAAAGAUGUCCUCUGUUGUGUUUUUACUCAUUAGUCUUUGCUGACUGGGGGGGGAGGGGGGUCUCAUGAAAGAGUCACUUCCCUCCAAAAUUGUAGCGCUGCCUGCUUAGUUACACAGCCUGGCUGCUAAGCACAAGGAGGUAGCAGCGAAGUGUCACAUUUGAAAGACUACAAGAAAGAAGUGGAAUGGUGAUAGACUGAACUAAUGCAUUCUUAAUGAGAAGAAACUCUUCUGUUGCUUUGAAGGGAUGCAGGGAAAGAAAUAGCAUGCUCAGAAGCAGCAAAAGUCUGAAAGCUGUUUUUAAUGCUGUUGCAGAAAGAAGUCACUGUGGCAGAAUUCUUAUAAAAUUCUACUUGUAAAAUGCAAAUACUGUGUUAGCAUGAUCGUUUUCUUAAGAUGUACAUUCAGAGGUGGGAGAUCUGGCUGCUCUGAUCCCUAUGCAGUUAAAAGUUUUGGGAGUGGAUAAAUUUUGGGCACAUAGCACAAGCCUUGCAAUCAAUAUAUAGUCUACUGACAACUGAAUGUUUCAAACAUCUUGUAAUAAAUUUUGGAUAAUAAAAAUGCAAGAAGCCACCAUUUAAAUGUAGCAUUCUUUUGAGGUAACUCAAAAGAGUGUUACCUAUGGCUUCCGUGCUUGUGUGCACUCAAUAGCACAAGAUUUCUUAAAGACUGUUCCCAGACAUUUUGAGAAAGUGGCCUUGGCCACACUCUGCACUAGAGGAGAAAUAAUGGAGUUCUGGAGGAGAAGUGAAUCCUGGUUCCACAUCCAACAAUAGUUUUCACACACAUGUGAGGCAUAGUCAAGGAAUGUCAGUCUUUUAGGAACAUCAGUGUGUAUCAUCCAAUGGUCUGUCUCCAGCUCUAACCAAAUUCCAGUGCUUGAUCAAAAAGAAAUGAACAAUGAGACAAGAAAUCAGUUGUUACUUUGUACUCAGAGUGGAGGAAAAAAUCCUCUUCAGCCUCCAUAGUGACCACUGGGAUCCCAAAAGUGUGCGUUUAAUGCAGUGCAGACCAAGUGCCAGACAGAGACAUUUUUCAAACCUCAUUGAUGUUACAGCUCAGUAUGUGUUCAAGAACUCAAUAAACAAUCUUAACUUUC